RNAcentral lists this ribosomal RNA (411 nucleotides) under Verrucomicrobiota bacterium. RNAcentral's name for it is "Verrucomicrobia bacterium partial 16S ribosomal RNA". It matches the Rfam family "Bacterial small subunit ribosomal RNA", at positions 355 to 776 of the family's 1533-position model. Lineage: Bacteria; Pseudomonadati; Verrucomicrobiota. The record is from RNAcentral.
UGGGGAAUAUUGCGCAAUGGGGGAAACCCUGACGCAGCGACGCCGCGUGCGGGAUGAAGGCCUUCGGGUUGUAAACCGCUUUUGAUUGGGAGCAAGCUUUCGGGUGAGUGUACCUUUCGAAUAAGCGCCGGCUAACUACGUGCCAGCAGCCGCGGUAAUACGUAGGUGGCAAGCGUUGUCCGGAAUUAUUGGGCGUAAAGCGCGCGCAGGUGGUUUAGAAAGUCUGAUGUGAAAGCCCACGGCUCAACCGUGGAGGGUCAUUGGAAACUAAUAAACUUGAGUGCAGGAGAGAAAAGUGGAAUUCCUAGUGUAGCGGUGAAAUGCGUAGAGAUUAGGAGGAACACCGGUGGCGAAAGCGGCUUUUUGGCCUGCAACUGACACUGAGGCGCGAAAGCGUGGGGAGCAAACAGG